RNAcentral lists this ribosomal RNA (588 nucleotides) under Triticum aestivum (bread wheat). RNAcentral's name for it is "partial small subunit ribosomal RNA". The record is from RNAcentral. Lineage: Eukaryota; Viridiplantae; Streptophyta; Magnoliopsida; Poales; Poaceae.
AUGGCCGAUAUUGCUCCUGGUUCCAUCAACUUCCACAGGAACAUCGAAAAUUGUGUGGUUCGGAUAGUAUAUCGUGUGGAUGGAGAUGUUGUGAAAUCUACACUGGGUGUUGUGGUUUCAGUUGGGAGAGGCUACUGUGACAUUGUAGCAAGGAAUUCUAUAUUGGAAGUGAAGAAACCGAAUCGAGUUCGGGUUUAUUUUCCUAAUAAUGACAGAGUUCGUAUUACAUCAUCUGAGGACCUUGGCAAUAACAUUGGCAUGUUCCAUAUCUUGGGUAAUGAUCUACAAGUAGCUCCAAUGGUGCUUAGUUCUCAGGACCCUCUUCCAAAUGAGACUAUAUAUCUCUUCACAUACAAAUCAUUUGGAAGACAGUGUGCAAUAUUACCCCCAGGAAAUGUGACUAGCAUUGCUGGAUGUCAGCUUAAACAUGAUUCUACAACUCCUGCCGAGGUUGAUGAAGAAGAUAGUGAUGGGGAAAUUCUAGUUAAUGCUAGAGGCGAACUUGUUGGUAUUGUUGAUGAAAAACACCGUCAACAUGCCACUACUUCAAGAGUAAUAAGAAAUGCACUCAAUAAGUUGGGAGGUUAA